RNAcentral lists this transfer RNA (73 nucleotides) under Mesocricetus auratus (golden hamster). It matches the Rfam family "tRNA". Rfam says of the family: Transfer RNA (tRNA) molecules are approximately 80 nucleotides in length. Lineage: Eukaryota; Metazoa; Chordata; Mammalia; Rodentia; Cricetidae. The record is from Rfam by way of RNAcentral.
GGGGAUGUAGCUUAGUUGGUAGAACACUUGCCUAGUAUGCAGAAGGCCCUGGGUUUGACCCCCAGCAUUGCGU